UGGUUCUGGCAUCGAUGAAGAACGCAGCGAAAUGCGAUAAGUAAUGUGAAUUGCAGAAUUCAGUGAAUCAUCGAAUCUUUGAACGCACAUUGCGCCCUUUGGCAUUCCGAAGGGCAUGCCCGUUCGAGCGUCAUUAAAUCCAAUCAAGCCUGGCUUGGUAUUGGGCGCUGGAGCUCCUCCACGCCCCAAUGUCCCCGGCCGGCCAGUCGCCUGUCUUAAUGUCGUGACGCAUUUCAUUAAAGCAGGGGCGGUGCACGCCGUUAGAAUUCAACAAAGCUCUCACGAACUUUGAUUAAGGUUGACCUCGGAUCGGGUAGGAAUACCCGCUGA
This 330-nucleotide unclassified non-coding RNA is filed under the name uncultured fungus. Its description in RNAcentral is "partial contains 5.8S ribosomal RNA and internal transcribed spacer 2". The stretch from base 1 to 133 matches the Rfam family "5.8S ribosomal RNA", at positions 22 to 154 of the family's 154-position model. The record is from RNAcentral. Lineage: Eukaryota; Fungi.